AAGGAUUUAAAGUUAUUAAACUUGAGUAGUAAUAGUUAUGAUCUUGAAACUUAAAGAAUUUGGCGGUGUUUUAGUCUAUUUAGAGGAAUCUGUCCCGUAAUCGAUAGUCCGCGUUGAACUUUACUUGAUUUAUGAAUUUGUAUACCGCCGUUUUAUGAAGAUCUUUUUAGGGUAAAUUUUCUUGAAUUUUAAUUAUAAAGUAUUUCAGGUCAAGGUGCAGUUUAUGAUUAAGGGGUGAUGGAUUACAAUAUAAUAAUGUAUAUGAAUUAUAAUUUGUAAAUUUUAUAUGAAGGUGGAUUUAAUAGUAAUAUUUUAUAGAUUGUAAAUAUGAUUUUAGCUCUAAAAUGUGC
This 350-nucleotide ribosomal RNA is filed under the name Phoetalia pallida. RNAcentral describes it as "partial 12S ribosomal RNA". The record is from RNAcentral. Lineage: Eukaryota; Metazoa; Arthropoda; Insecta; Blattodea; Blaberidae.